Molecule: ribosomal RNA, 344 nt
Filed under: uncultured bacterium
Lineage: Bacteria
Description: bacterial SSU rRNA
Rfam family: Bacterial small subunit ribosomal RNA
Source: RNAcentral
AACUACCCAUAGUAUGUGAGAAUGGCAUCAUUUUCACAUUAAAGUCACAACGGCAAAAGAUGAGCAUGCGUCCCAUUAGCUUGUUGGUAAGGUAACGGCUUACCAAGGCUACGAUGGGUAGGGGUCCUGAGAGGGAGAUCCCCCACACUGGUACUGAGACACGGACCAGACUCCUACGGGAGGCAGCAGUGAGGAAUAUUGGACAAUGGGCGCAAGCCUGAUCCAGCCAUGCCGCGUGCAGGAUGACGGUCCUAUGGAUUGUAAACUGCUUUUGUACAGGAAGAAACACUGGUUCGUGAACCAGCUUGACGGUACUGUAAGAAUAAGGAUCGGCUAACUCCGUG